This 478-nucleotide ribosomal RNA is filed under the name uncultured bacterium. Its description in RNAcentral is "SSU rRNA". It matches the Rfam family "Bacterial small subunit ribosomal RNA", at positions 26 to 521 of the family's 1533-position model. The record is from RNAcentral.
AGGACGAACGCUGGCGGCGUGCUUAACACAUGCAAGUCGAACGGUAAGGCCCUUCGGGGUACACGAGUGGCGAACGGGUGAGUAACACGUGGGUGAUCUGCCCUGCACUUCGGGAUAAGCUUGGGAAACUGGGUCUAAUACCGGAUAUGACUACGAAUCGCAUGGUUUGUGGUGGAAAGCUUUUGCGGUGUGGGAUGGGCCCGCGGCCUAUCAGCUUGUUGGUGGGGUGAUGGCCUACCAAGGCGACGACGGGUAGCCGGCCUGAGAGGGUGUCCGGCCACACUGGGACUGAGAUACGGCCCAGACUCCUACGGGAGGCAGCAGUGGGGAAUAUUGCACAAUGGGCGCAAGCCUGAUGCAGCGACGCCGCGUGAGGGAUGACGGCCUUCGGGUUGUAAACCUCUUUCAGUAUCGACGAAGCGCAAGUGACGGUAGGUACAGAAGAAGGACCGGCCAACUACGCGCCAGCAGCCGCGUA